UACGUAGGGGGCAAGCGUUGUCCGGAAUCAUUGGGCGUAAAGCGCGUGUAGGCGGUCCGGUAAGUCCGCUGUGAAAGUCGGGGGCUCAACCCUCGAAAGCCGGUGGAUACUGUCGGGCUAGAGUGCGGAAGAGGCGAGUGGAAUUCCUGGUGUAGCGGUGAAAUGCGCAGAUAUCAGGAGGAACACCAAUUGCGAAGGCAGCUCGCUGGGACGUUACUGACGCUGAGACGCGAAAGCUAGGGGAGCGAACAGG
RNAcentral lists this ribosomal RNA (253 nucleotides) under uncultured bacterium. RNAcentral's name for it is "partial 16S ribosomal RNA". It matches the Rfam family "Bacterial small subunit ribosomal RNA", at positions 524 to 776 of the family's 1533-position model. The record is from RNAcentral.